UUACGGUCAAAUCACGCUGAAACACCGGUUCUCGUACGAUCACCGAAGUUAAGCAUCGUAGAGCCAGGUCAGUACUUAGAUGGGGGACCGCUUGGGAACACCUGGUAG
This 108-nucleotide ribosomal RNA is filed under the name Acanthosepion pharaonis. Lineage: Eukaryota; Metazoa; Mollusca; Cephalopoda; Sepiida; Sepiidae. The record is from RNAcentral.